This 700-nucleotide ribosomal RNA is filed under the name uncultured bacterium. RNAcentral describes it as "bacterial SSU rRNA". It matches the Rfam family "Bacterial small subunit ribosomal RNA", at positions 8 to 703 of the family's 1533-position model. The record is from RNAcentral.
AGAGUUUGAUCCUGGCUCAGAUUGAACGCUGGCGGCAGGCCUAACACAUGCAAGUCGAGCGGAUGAGUGGAGCUUGCUCCAUGAUUCAGCGGCGGACGGGUGAGUAAUGCCUAGGAAUCUGCCUGGUAGUGGGGGGCAACGUUUCGAAAGGAACGCUAAUACCGCAUACGUCCUACGGGAGAAAGCAGGGGACUUUCGGGCCUUGCGCUAUCAGAUGAGCCUAGGUCGGAUUAGCUAGUUGGUGAGGUAACGGCUCACCAAGGCGACGAUCCGUAACUGGUCUGAGAGGAUGAUCAGUCACACUGGAACUGAGACACGGUCCAGACUCCUACGGGAGGCAGCAGUGGGGAAUAUUGGACAAUGGGCGAAAGCCUGAUCCAGCCAUGCCGCGUGUGUGAAGAAGGUCUUCGGAUUGUAAAGCACUUUAAGUUGGGAGGAAGGGCAGUAAGUUAAUACCUUGCUGUUUUGACGUUACCGACAGAAUAAGCACCGGCUAACUUCGUGCCAGCAGCCGCGGUAAUACGAAGGGUGCAAGCGUUAAUCGGAAUUACUGGGCGUAAAGCGCGCGUAGGUGGUUCAGCAAGUUGGAUGUGAAAGCCCCGGGCUCAACCUGGGAACUGCAUCCAAAACUACUGAGCUAGAGUACGGUAGAGGGUGGUGGAAUUUCCUGUGUAGCGGUGAAAUGCGUAGAUAUAGGAAG